Molecule: non-coding RNA, 459 nt
Filed under: Pan troglodytes (chimpanzee)
Lineage: Eukaryota; Metazoa; Chordata; Mammalia; Primates; Hominidae
Source: RNAcentral
UUGGUGGUGCUUGUCAAAGGCUUCGUAGCAGCGGCCCUGGCAGGAGGAAAGGGGUUCUGAGUUGCAAAUCAGAAACUUGAAGAUGAAAUGGCUGCUACGCUGGGUAUUGCCUUUAUCUUGAAUGCCAGCCUGAUGGUCCAAAGUGAACAAGCCUUCCUGUGUUUUCUGAAUGUUCCCCCGCACUUUGCCUGCCACCAUGUAAGAUGUGUCUUUGCGCCUCCUUUGCCUUCCACCAUGAUUGUGCGGCCUCCCCAGCCAUGUGGAACGGCUGGAAAUGAUGGUAUGGAGAUGUUGCACCACGUGGUCCCUUCACUAGAGGAAGAGUGGUAUGAAUCGUGCCCGUCACUGUGACACCAUGCAGUCUUCUGGCAGUACACAAGUUGUGAGAGUUUGCUACCAUUUUUACAUUUUUGUGAUUUAAAGUGUUGAAUAACAAUUAAUAAUGUCAUACAUACUAAA